GGCGCGAUGGCGGAGUGGUUACGCAGCGGCCUGCAAAGCCGUGUACGCCGGUUCGAUUCCGGCUCGCGCCUCCA
Molecule: transfer RNA, 74 nt
Filed under: Alphaproteobacteria bacterium
Lineage: Bacteria; Pseudomonadati; Pseudomonadota; Alphaproteobacteria
Also listed under: 1 other name
Description: tRNA-Cys
Rfam family: tRNA
About the family: Transfer RNA (tRNA) molecules are approximately 80 nucleotides in length. Their secondary structure includes four short double-helical elements and three loops (D, anti-codon, and T loops).
Source: RNAcentral